AGAAAAGAUGUCGAUCAUGGAAGUGGUCUGCAGUCGAGGAACAAGGGGCGUGGUCCACGCGUUCCCUGCGGGCGGGGUGUGUGCAGAGAUCGGUCAUGAAGCAGCUGACAGCAUCGCGGGAGACCUUGAUCGGGGAAGGACGGAAGACACGGAGAGGAGGAGCGUGCUGGAAAGCAGAAUCCAAAAAGACUCUUUAAAAAUACUGCAAGUACGGGCUGCAAAGCCUGGUAUGUGUAUUGUGUCAAAAAGAUUAAAUAUUGUAAACCGC
Long non-coding RNA from Nerophis ophidion (straightnose pipefish), 268 nucleotides. RefSeq lists it as uncharacterized. The record is from RefSeq and is a predicted model, not a curated record. Lineage: Eukaryota; Metazoa; Chordata; Actinopteri; Syngnathiformes; Syngnathidae. The transcript is spliced from 3 exons.